Molecule: transfer RNA, 67 nt
Filed under: pig gut metagenome
Rfam family: tRNA
About the family: Transfer RNA (tRNA) molecules are approximately 80 nucleotides in length. Their secondary structure includes four short double-helical elements and three loops (D, anti-codon, and T loops).
Source: RNAcentral
GGUGUGGCUCAGCUUGGCUAGAGCACUUGAUUUGGGAUCAAGAGGUCGCAGGUUCAAAUCCUGUCAC